This 301-nucleotide ribosomal RNA is filed under the name uncultured bacterium. RNAcentral's name for it is "partial 16S ribosomal RNA". It matches the Rfam family "Bacterial small subunit ribosomal RNA", at positions 509 to 807 of the family's 1533-position model. The record is from RNAcentral.
CAGUCGCCACGGUAAUACGAAGGGUGCAAGCGUUACUCGGAAUUACUGGGCGUAAAGCGUGCGUAGGUGGUUGUUUAAGUCUGCUGUGAAAGCCCUGGGCUCAACCUGGGAAUUGCAGUGGAUACUGGGCGACUAGAGUAAGGUAGAGGAUAGUGGAAUUUCCGGUGUAGCAGUGAAAUGCGUAGAGAUCGGAAGGAACAUCUGUGGCGAAGGCGACUAUCUGGGCCAUUACUGACACUGAGGCACGAAAGCGUGGGGAGCAAACAGGAUUAGAUACCCGUGUAGUCCCUGUCUCUUAUAC